This 72-nucleotide transfer RNA is filed under the name Camelus bactrianus (Bactrian camel). It matches the Rfam family "tRNA". Rfam says of the family: Transfer RNA (tRNA) molecules are approximately 80 nucleotides in length. Their secondary structure includes four short double-helical elements and three loops (D, anti-codon, and T loops). The record is from Rfam by way of RNAcentral. RNAcentral also lists the same sequence under 2 other names. Lineage: Eukaryota; Metazoa; Chordata; Mammalia; Artiodactyla; Camelidae.
GAGGGUGUAGCUCAAUGGCAGAGUGCGUGCUUAGCAUGCACAAGGUCCUGGGUUCAAUCCUCAGUCCCUUCA